GUUAAUAAAUUGUUGAUUGUUUGUGGGACCCACCCAUUAAUUAAAUUCUGCCCUAUGUUUUCACUCCAUCAAACCCUACAACGAUCUCUAUUUUAUGACCUGGAGAAUGAAGCCAAGAGAGGAUGAAGAAGGGUUUGUGAGGGUUGUUGCCGCCUCUCUUAGCCAAUGAUUUCGAUCAUCCUCUUUGAAAUUCCAACAACCCUCUUUUACAUAUCUACAUAUACAUAUACAUAUGUAUGUGUGAGGAUAGAUAUAGAGAGAGACAAAAAAAUAUCUAUGAAAACAACUAUUUUUCUAGAUCCCAAACCAAACCCUGCAACAAUUAUUCAUCCAUAACCACCUGCAAUAAUUAGUAGAGGUAAUCCUCAAACCAAAACUACUACCGUCGUCUCCUCUCGAGGUUGGCACUACUAGUCCGGCUCCACCUCAGUCGUCUUCUAUCCACGUCCCCAACCAUCAAGGGCUACCAGACAUCGCCAGUGCUGUGAAGGUUCACCAGAGAUCGCUCGAAGAGGUGGUCGGAUUCCCUUGACUCUCUCUAUAUGAAGAAUGUGUGUCUGCGAAAAAGAAUGUAUGAUAUGAGGGCUAGCUUAUAAUGGGGUAUUUAAAUCCUUUAAUUUGGGUAUAGAUUUUGAUGGAUUUUUGUGGGACUGGGUAUUGGUGGUUUUAUGGGAUUUUGAGGGAAAAAUCAAGAAUAUUUGGUUAUUUUGGAGUGGUGAUGAUUGAUGAAACAGAGGUGGUGGUUGAUUUUGGGGUGGUGAUGAAACAGGUGUGGCGGAGAAAGGAUGAUGGUGGGAGUGGUGGUUUAAAGACGUGGGUGGCCGAUGAUGGUUUAAGGAGGUGGUGGUUUUAGGAGGUUAGGUGUGGUGGUUUAAGACGAAGAAGUGGAAGAUCAUUCCACAAAAUCUUUCAAGUUAUGGUUAGAGCACCGCUAGCACAAUAUAAAGUAAAGAACAAACAAAAGCAAAAGAGUAAAUGGAAUGGAUGAUUACUAUAGCCGGUCAUCCUUUUUAGUGACGAAUCUUUCAAGAAUCAUAGAUCAUUCCACAAAAUUUGCAGAUAUGGAUCCCUUGCACAACAGUCCUUCAUUUUUAAAGCUUAUUGAGGAAGAUGACCCUAUAUUUUUGCAAAUACCUAAUGACUUUGCUUCAAUGAUUUGGGGAGACCAACCACCUUACAAUGAUUCAGUUAAGAUUGUUGAUGGUAACAAGUUAUGGUUUGUAAGAGUGAAAAAAACUGAUGUGAGCCCUGUUCUUGCUGAUGGCUUCACCAAAGUUGUUCGGGAUAGUUGUAUAAGAAAAGAGGACUACCUUAUGUUUCAGUCAUAUGGACCAUCAUCAUUCUUUCUAAUGGUGUUUAAAUCAUUUGUUCAUAAAAACUGCUUUAUAUCCAAGAUCACUCCUUACGAAGAUGUUAUUUCAUGGCUGAUGAAUUUUGGAGGCAAUUUUAUGGUAAAAAUUUCAAAGGUGGUCAGUCAACUCUUUAUUUAUGAGAUAGAUUUUGGAACGUUAAAAUCGACGGAUUAACGGACAACUGUGUUUUUACUCAUGGAUGUUCUGAGAUGAUAAGCGAUCUUGCCUUAGGCAGGCGAUCUACCUUUGUCUUUUCACUGCAUGGAAAUAAAAUUUUCGAGCUUUCAGUCUUUAAUCAUCAAACCGGUACUCAAACUACAACAGGGUUGAGUUAGUUGUUUUGGAUGACUCAAUCUAUGGUGAUGAUGGUGAUGAUUUUCUUAUUGCGUCCGAACAUAAGGAGAAGUGUAGUAGUGCUGGAACUGACUUUCAAGAAGGUGUUGUUGUGGAAUGUGAAGACGACAAAUUUCAGUUGGCAAGUUUUGAAGCUGUGUUCAAUGAUAUUGAUGAUUCCAAGUUUGAUAACUUUUUCUCAUCUCUACUUGAAGUGAAAGACCUUAAGAAGAAGUUCAAAGAUGAUUGGGAUACAAAAACUGAACCGCAAGACAAAGCAAGUGUUGUUUGUGAUGAAGAUUUAACUUUAAAGGAUGAUCCCAAGGCGAAAACAAUUGUUGUUGUUGAUAAAAAUCUAAGUUUAAAGGACAAAAGCAAGUUUGAGACGGAUCUGGACAAAUUUUUGAUACCUGAGAAUAAGUCCCAUGUUGAUCCUACAGGGAAAACAAAUGUUCUUUUUUCUGAACCGAGUCUGUGCUCCACAGUUGUUUCUGAUGCCAUUCCGAAAUAUACAGUUGAUGUUGGUCAAAGUGUUUUGCCGAGAAAGAGGAAGGCCACUCGGAAAUGUAAACACAGUUACGAUUGUGUCCGAUGAGUCUCUUAUCGCACAUCGUACACGUUCAAAGUUUAGAAACAAAAAUGAAUCUGUUGUUGUUGAUAAGAUCACGGCUGCUGAAACCGCAUCUGUUAGUCGUAAACGUUCUACAUUGAAAAGGUCGAAGACAGUUGCAAUCAUUGAGUUCACUAAAGUUGCAGAAAACAGAAUGCGUUUACCGUCUGCUGUUUCCGAGGAUUUGUGUCUUUCUAUUCACAACCUCCGUGAUGUUUCGCUCCAAAACCUUAGAUGUGAGGUAACAAACAUGAAGACUAUAGCGGAAAAGAAUGGAAAUGGUUACAUGUAUGGUUUUUCCAAGUGGUCGGCUUUCUUGAAAUCAAAUCAAAUCCACAUCGGCGCUACUCUUUUCUUUAAAUAUGUCAAGGCUUCGCAGCUUUUGAUUUUGACCAAGUUGUUCACAAGACGACAAAGAAAAGAGGCCGUGCGUGACUGUUUUCAUUUGUGGUUGUUAGUAGGUUUUGUAUAUGUUUUGGUGAUGUGUUGGUUAUUAGUUAAUAGUCGGUUGACAAUUGGUUGCAUAUUUUGUGAUUGGUCUUAGUAUGGUCCAAGUCUGAUGUUAGUUAUUUUGUUGUUUGGACAAUUAGUACUUAAA
Long non-coding RNA from Helianthus annuus (common sunflower), 2893 nucleotides. RefSeq lists it as uncharacterized. Lineage: Eukaryota; Viridiplantae; Streptophyta; Magnoliopsida; Asterales; Asteraceae. The transcript has 15 exons. The record is from RefSeq and is a predicted model, not a curated record.